This is a long non-coding RNA of Carassius auratus (goldfish), 8041 nucleotides long. RefSeq lists it as uncharacterized. The record is from RefSeq and is a predicted model, not a curated record. The transcript has 3 exons. NCBI's taxonomy places the organism in Eukaryota, Metazoa, Chordata, Actinopteri, Cypriniformes, Cyprinidae.
GAGUGUGUCUGCCUCCUGAACAAUGUUAGGAAGGCUAUUCCAGAGUUUAGGUGCUAAAUAGGAAAAGGUAUUAUCACAUUACCAGAGUUUUGAGAACACAGUGGAUGCGGUGGACUAUAAUGCAUUAAGAGCUUGUUCAAAUACUGUGGUGUUAAACCAAUCGGGGCUUUAUAAGUAACAAGCAAGAUUUUAGAAUUUAUACGAUGUUAAAUAGGGAGCCGGUGCAGUGUUGAGUAUGACAGGAAUCACAAAAAUGAUCUGAAGCAGAAGAACUCUACACUCUCAGAAAUAAAGGUACGGUGAGGGUACAAUUAUAGCUGCUUAAUUUUGAACCAGCUGGAAUUUGUUUAUUAAGCAUGCAGAACAACCACCCAAUAAAACAUUACAGUAAUCUAACCUUGAGACCAUGAAUGCAUGAAUUAACGUUUCUGCAUUUGACAUUGGGAGCGUAGUUACUAAUUUAGAUAUAUUCUUGAGAUAGAAAUAUGCAGUUUUACAAGUUUUGAUGUCACAUGCAUCCACUCAUAUGCAGACACAUAGCUGACUCUACUUCUGUGCUAUCUGUUAGUGAGUAGAUGCAGCAGAGCUGGAGAGUGUUCGGCUGAGAUAGGAGUCUGUUUCCUGAGCUAUUAGAGACUGACUUCAGACCAUCUGCCUGGAGCGAGAUUGAGACACAGUUCAAACUGAAGCACAACUCUACUUUGUCACAUACUUGACUACCAAUAGUGUAAUGGUGGCAAAGACAGACGGAUAAGAAGAGGGAAGAGUCAUCUGCCUCCCAUGGUCUGCCAACACACAGACCACCAGGGGAAGUGAGGGAGCAAAAAAGAAAGGAAGAGAAAGAUAACUGGGGAGAUUGGACAGUCGGGAGCUUUUGAAGAAAAGACCAGUUUCUACCCCAAGAACAGCGAUAACUGAUGUGGGUACCCACUGGGGGACUGGACGGAGGAGUAAAUAUGAAUUAUGAAAGAAGAUAACGUGUGGACAGUGUGGACUGUUGUCCUUUCACCUGGAGCCAAGACUCAUGAACUGCACGGUUGAGAGUGUUGGGAAAUCUGCAUCCUGUUUUACGGUCGGCAAACUUCUGUUGACUGAAUACAGCAGUUAAGAAUCUGAGGCUUUAUUGCAAAUAAAGGGUGUUUCUGACAAUAUUUUGACGGCACGUGCACCGGCGGGGUGAACAUAUUGAGUUCAAAACAGAAAUGAGAGAGCAUUGGAGGAAAAAAUCAAUAGAUGGGUGAAUGAAUAGGUGAAGUGAGUCAGUAUACAGCUAUUCACUGUCUCGGUGCCCCUUUUGUCCUUUCUGUGCUAUUUGGUUAAAAUCUCUUUUAUCUCUGCUGGUGCCAGUCUCUGAUGCAUAAACGCUCCAGACUGACUCCUUUUGCUUUGAUAGAGGGACACAAAAACCGCAUUAGCGUUUCAGCAUCAGUAAGAAUAUCGCAUAUCCGGCUUGUCAUUCAUUUGAUUUUACACUUCUUAAUUUCUCUUACAUGGUACAUUUCCUCCUUGACCUGUACUGAAGUCAUCCAUCAUAAUGUUCUUAUAUAAGAAUAUAUUGUAUCCUGUUGAUUGAAAUAUUCUGGUCAAGGUUUUUUUUUUUUUUUAUUUUUUUUUUUUUAUCAAAGUAUGUGGGUUAUUUUAGUUUUCAAAUUAAUUAAAAUAUAUGAUAAUGUGUAUCAUAUAAUGCAUAUCCUUCUUACAAGUGGCAAAACAAGCUCAAUUUAAGACAUGCUGUUGGUCCUGCUGGAAAGCACAGGCAUUGCAAGGCCAAGGUUUCGGUUUGUCAUCACAUCUAUUUUCAGGUUACUUUAAACUGCUUUAGGUAUAUGAACAUGUCACCUGCCAUCACGUCAAACUGUGUGUUUUUCCUCCUGUGUGUUUAUUGUCAUUUCCUCUCCACACACUCGUGUCUUCAAACACAAGUGUGUGUGUGUGUGUAUUUUGUUAGAUGUGUUAACAGCAGCACUGGAACCAGAUACUUUAUGAUACAACUUUUCAUCUCUUUUGCGCACUCACACAGUCUGUCGUUGUCUCACUCGGCAGGGUGGGCUUUAAUCUAUUUUCACCCCUGGCUUCUUAAGAAAGUAGAUCUACCAAGUCAACUUCCUACUGGGAGAGUCACUCCUGACUAAACUUUGUGUGUGUGAGCGUGCCCUGUACGGGAAUAGUGAGUUUCUUAAAAACUUCCCCAUCUCUCAUUUAAGUUUAAUUUAAACCUGUAUGAAUUAAUUUCUUCUGCAGAGCACGAAAGAUGAUAUGUUUAAUAUCUUUGUAUUUAAAAAAAAUAACAGUAAAAAUAAAACACAACAAAAUUUCUCCAAUUAUCUUCUUUUAUGUUCCACAGAAGAAAGACAGAAAGUCUUACAGGUUUGGAACGACGUGAGGACAUAAGUUGAAUAUUUUCAUUUUUCGGUGACUUUCCCUUUAAAGAGGAUAAACUACUCCAGCUAAUAUAUAUAGAAAACACCAAACUGAUCUUUUAGUAUAUUACUAAUAAUAACAUGUGAAACUCACUACAUGUUACUCAUGCUGUAACCACUCUGUGAACAGAACAAAUGGAGGCAAAUCAUGUCUGCCCACCUUCUCAUUCCUUCAAACCCAAAUGAGAGAGAGGAAGUAGGGUAUAAAACUCCCUCUGUUCUGCAUUAAACGAGUCUCUUGGAGACUCUCAUCCUGUUUCCAUCCUGCCGCUCCUAAAACUCAUUACCCCCACCCCCAUUCCUCUUUCUUUAUUCCCCUCUUCCCUUGCUCUUCCCACUCACUCUUCUAUUCUCUUAUUCUCUGUGCCCCAUCUGCCCUUCCUGUUACUAUGGUUAUCUGCAGAACUAAAUGGCAGGUGCUGGCAGAUCCACAUAACUUUGGGAUGGGCUGCAAUUGCCAGGCUGGAAUGGCACUUGCUAUGCUUUAGAUGUUUUUAGAUAUAAUUGUACGCACGCCCUUUUCAAAUAUUCUCAUGUUGAUGCCUUAUUUGUUGUAUGUGUGUUGACCAUUGCAAUACUUCCAAAUAGAGAGCAAGACCUUGGGCAUUUAUUGGAUAAACCAAAGAAGUCAUGUUUCUUUGGAGGAAAUUUUGGCUUAUAAAUAUUUUAUGAUGGUCAGUUAUAUCCGCGGAUCCCAUGUUCCAACAUUGUCUGUCAAAAAAACUCUGGUAGUACACCCCAAAUAUAGCUCACUCUACAAUGAAUCUGUCAUGGGGAACAUGUUGUAGAUUACCAGACAGGCUGUCAGUUUUAUCUUUUUCCACAUAAAAGUAGUUUAUUCAACGCUUCUCCUCUGUUGAUUUCGAGGACACGUGUAACUGGCCGAUCUGAGGACACAGUGUAAAUGAAGGGUGCUUUUCACACUAUCAAUCAAAUUGAUGAAUGGUGUCUCUAUCCAUUUUUCUCAGAACAUUCAGACGGGGACUCCUCGGCGAUGAAUAUCACUCAUGGAUUUUUUAGCAUUUGCGUUCCUCAGAGAAAGGCUGUUGUGUGUGUACGGGUGCAUGUGCAUGACUGCGUGUCGUGUAUGUGUGUGUUUUGGUCAGGGAACAAAUGAAGAAGAAGACAGGCGCCACUGUUUAUUGUGUUUGUGCAUGCAUGUGGGCCGGUGUGUUUGAGGAGUGUCUGCUCUACACGAAACUGAGGGCCUCGGAGACACACAUGGAGACUGAGUGCUGAGCAGUGUGUACCAUCUAAACAAAGAACAGCUCUGUUUGCUGAAAACACUAAAUGCAUAUGUAUCUUUGCUGCUUGGGUUGCUGUCAGGAUGACGUUCUCGAUAUAAUAUGCUGUCUGCAUUUCCUGUUACACUUGAUGCAGGGUACAUUUCCCCGGGCCUGCAUUUAAUGUUAAAAAAUCCAAACGACUAUGCAAAUACAACCUGUCUAAAUGUCUUAAGAUGUGUAAAUGGUCUCAGGAAUUAAGAUUCAAACGCGCAAUUGCUACAUGCUCUCAAUUCCUGUUGAAGGAAAAGCCUUUUCUGUAAAUAUCUGGAGGUCUUAACUGACAUCAGAAAUGUCAUGUCUGCAGCAUUUUAUUUGCUCUGUAAAUAUAGCGUUAGGGGUUUUCUGACAUGGCCUGAAGUCUUCCAGUCAGUAGUGUUUGUUGUGCCAGACUCUUGGCUGAACUUCUCUCCUUCUGUCAGCACUCUGUUUUAAUUAUCGUCCUAAUUUACCCCCCUUAUUUUUCUAGGGUUGCUCCACUUCAGUCACUUUCCCAGGUGGAGCGGCAUCCGGAAUGCUAUCUGUUCUGGCACCAAACUACCCUGCUGUCUUUCCAGAACUUUCUCCUGUGUCCUCUCCUUCUUUCUCCUGUGUGUAUGUAAACAGCAGGAUGCGAUUCUUUUUUUUUCUGUGAAUCGGAGUCUGAUCAUAAUCAACACCUGAAUAAGAAAUAUCAAUAGUGUAUGUGUGUAUUCCACUAUAUGUGCUUUUAAAGCCUAGACAUACACACACUUGUGUAAAGGGUGUUUCCUCAAUUUUCAAAAAAACUUACAAAUGAGGAGAUAUGGUACAAUAUAUGUGAAUAUGAAUAUGAACGUCACACUAAAACAGUACAGUCCUAGCUUGAAGAAUAUAACAUAACAUUUAUAACAAAAAUACAGCAUUUUUAAUAGUCUGAUAAUAAUUUCAACAAUUCUGUGAAUAUGACUUAAUUUAUAUAUAUGAAUAUGAAUAAAUUAAAAAAAUGACUGUUCCUCACACUUGUUAUUUACACCACAACCAACAUUUCUACAGUAACACAGUUUUUUUUAAGAUAUUGUACUUUGUUUGCUAAAUAGAAAGUGUCUGUGAAAUGCAUGUUACAUGUGAUGAAAAUAUAGAAAGCUACAAAAUUUAUUUAAUUCGUAUUCAAUUCAUAAAAUAUUAGCUAUAAAAAUUAGCCUUAGAAAUACCUUUAGACAAUUAGAGAAGUAUUUUUAUUAUUAAUAAUAAUAAUAAUAAUAAUAAUAGUACCUUUUAUUUAUUUUUGCCUUUCAAGACACUGAAGGACACCGUACAAUAAAACAAAACAUAAAAUGAAAAAAACACAUUAAACAAGCAAAUCAUUAAAUUGAUUAAUCCUGAAAAAAGUAUCACAGUUUUCACCAACAACAAAAAAUAAGCAGCUUGACUGUUUUGAGCGUUGAUAAUAAUACAAAAACUUUCUGAUUUCUGAUGAUUUCUUAUAAUGUUAAAAUAACAUAAAAACAUGCUAGUUACUGUGAUGGAAACUACAGUUUUUUUUUUUUUUUUUGCUUCAAUAGGAAAUAUGCCAGCAUAGGAAAUACAACUGCACUCGUCAGGCUCUUUAAUGUGUCUUUUAAGGAUGCAGGCAAUUCAAGAGCAUGAUGAAUCAUGAGUGUGGUAAAUAAGUAGAGCGAGAAGAGUAGCUCUUCAUUAAUAACAGUAAGCCGUGCUGGUGUGGCUGUUUAUGCUGGGGGACUAGCAACAGUGCAGAGUGCAACUGUAAUCUGCCCCUCUCUGUAAACAGUCUGUCACAGUAAUGGCUCUGAAAACAAACCAGCAGCUCAAUUCUUGGGCCCCACCAAACAACUUUAACACACAUACACCCUCUGGAAGCUCUUUUACCAGGGGCCUACUUUCAAGUGAGGUGGAGGACAAUUUCCUGUAUCCCGUCCCUAGUCUCUGAGGAGUGUGUGUGUGUGUGUGUGUGUGUGUGUGUAUGUAUUUGUGUAAGAAUGAAUGUUUGUGUGUGCCUUGGGAGCAGCAGCGGACACCAGAGAGACAUAGAUUCGGGAUCUCCGUGGCGAUAAGGAAGUCAGCAGGAAGGAGACAUCCCAGGCCCCUUCUAGCACCCAGACUGACAGACUCCCCCCAAACUCACACACGCACACAUGCUUGCACAAAUUGAUGUUCGACAAACACCCCGCAUAAAUACACACGUACGCAUUCCAUCUCUAUGCUUCUUUAAAUGACAGAGGCACUAUUCAUGUUUCAUGAAAAAGAGGAGAAAAAUAACAUCAGCUAUAUCCGAUGGCUUGAUAAGUGAGAUGAAGAGAGGCCGGGGCUUCACUGUUUAAUUCCAGACACAGCUGUGCAUCGGCUACUACUGCAUGCAAGAUGAACACUAAUUGCUAUUCUUGUAUGUAUGGCUUGACCAAUGUUUAUAAUCUUUGUUUAAAGUUGUACGUUGUCUUCAUAGUUUUAAACUGCAGGCAUCUUGAUGUUAGGCAGAGAAUGUUUAAAAAUCUAUUUCAUUAACAUCUGCCACUGUUACUCAAUGUGUAUUGUGUUACAGAUAGUGGUUGAUGUGAUUUAGUUUAAACACAAAUGAAAAUUAGUCACCGUCAUGUUGAUCCAAAUCUGGGUGACUUUCUUUAUUCUCUGGAACACAAAGCAAGAUGCUUUUUUCCAUAUGUGUAAGACAGUGGGGUCUAGUUUCCACAGUAUAGACACAACGGUUGAACCAUUCUUUAAAUUAUCUUCUCUUGUGUUCCACAUACUGGUUUGAAAUGACAUGAGGAUGAGUAAAUUAUGUUCUUUUUGAGCAAAGCAGAGAAGUCAAUCCGCGUUCAUUGGAAAAACAUGCCUGUGGCAACAUUACAUGAAACUUUCAAGGCUUAGUGUCCAGUGAAUGGCUCUAAAAGUAGGUAUAGUUUUAUCCAAAACAUGUGAAUGUAAACCUGGCAACAUUUGAUUACAUUGGUUUCGAGGUCAUAGCAUUUUAAAAGAAACUGCAUGAGAAUAAUAAUUUAUAAAUCAAUAAUCUGCUCCGUAAUAUUAAAUUGUGCGAAAAGGAAUACAACUUGUUGGUGUUUCAUCAGAUCAUUUCAGUUUGAAACUGCAGUGAGUUUUUGAAGUUUUGUUUUUGAAGUUUCAGUGAGCUUAUGUUAGAAAGUUACCAAAACUAGCCUUUCAUUAAUGAAUGUUCAGUUCUAAUCUGCAUUUAAUGUUUGAUAUUUGCUUGUACUUUGGUCACUUCUGGGAGAUUAUCCCACAGACGCUAUUUUAAACAAUGCGUGUAAAGCUGUCGCCACAUAUGUAAACAUAUCCAUCUUCUUUCUCGUGCUUCUGUGAAAAAACAGAAGCCCCUCGGACAAUAGACGAUAAACAGAGGCUGUGCUUGUGUGUGCUUGCACUGUGGCUUUUCGCAUUAGUCUUCCUCACAUAUUUUUGUGUUUGUGUGUGCGAGCGUGCACGCGUUCAUUUAUCAUUCGGUCAUUAGCCAUUAGUGGCAGUGUUGUGUGUCAGCAUGAGCGAACCGACCUGGAGAGAUUAGACAGGUUCGAGUGAGAUAAACAGCUCUACCAUAUUCUCCCUCAAACUCAAACGCGGUCAUAAGCAAAUAUUGCGGGGGAAAUGAGAGGUCAAAACAUUCACGGGAAACUAGAACGAUUGAAGUAUUUCUCUGUAGUCAUAUUAGGGGACAGAAAAUAGCCCUUAAUAUCAUGUGAAGAAUCACCCCAUGGCUAUUCAGACCAGCAUGUUCAGUUCUCACUGAGCCUAACAUUCGGCUGAGUGGAGGAUAUUUGGUUAAUAAGAGGCAGACACAGAAGCAGAGGAGUCAUAGUAGGAGACAGAUAGACAUGAUGGGAGAGAAUAGACUAUAUGUUGAGGCCUGUGGGUGGGCUGCACGGAUUAGCCCAAAAGACACAGAGACACAAUGGCUGCGUACUGACUGGUCUCUAUGAACACAUGCUGUCUGACAGGCAUGAAAAAGCCACCACCUUACUGAGAGGUCAAAGGUCAUUAAGCUUCAGGAUGCUUAGUUAACGAUGCAGACCUAAUACUAUAAUACUUUAGCUUUUCCUAUCACCUAACUUUCUUCAGAAUGUCUUACUUUUAUAAGUAAAUAGAUAAAUAAUGCCCUUCUGUUAAAAUAUCUGGGGUAAGAUUAUUUUUAAAGUUAAUACUUUUAUUCAGAAAAGACAUAAAAUUGAUAUAAGUGAGUUAAUUUUUACAAAAGAUGUAUAUGUAAAAUGAAUGCAGUUUCUCUGAGCUAUAUAUUUAUUAGCGAAUCCUGAAAAAAUAAACGUGGUUUUCACAAAAAUAUGAACAUUAAUAUUAAGCAGGGUUUUCAACUGUUUAUUUUGCUAUCUCAGGAAUAAAUUACAUUUU